CAGACUGAGUCAAGUUCCCACCAUGACAGUUGUACAAAGUGUCCUCCUCUUGGCUCUCAUUUCAGCUGCUCAGGGCCAGUCCCUCACCUCCUCAGAGCCAGUGGUGAGCAGACCUGGACAACCAGUCACUCUGUCCUGUAAUGUGAACGGACUGCCUCUAGCUUGGCUGCACUGGAUUCGUCAGAAACCAGGGAAAGGACUGGAAUGGAUCGGACGCAUUGAUAGCGGAACUGACACAAUAUUUGCCCAAAGUGUCCGAGGCCAGUUUUCCAUCACCAAAGACACUUCCCAAAAUCUUGUGCCCUUAGAGGUUAAAAGUCUGAAACAAGAAGACUCUGCA
Non-coding RNA from Sander lucioperca (pikeperch), 340 nucleotides. NCBI's taxonomy places the organism in Eukaryota, Metazoa, Chordata, Actinopteri, Perciformes, Percidae. The record is from the annotation of a RefSeq genome assembly.